Brassica rapa (field mustard) is the source of this 2627-nucleotide long non-coding RNA. RefSeq lists it as uncharacterized. NCBI's taxonomy places the organism in Eukaryota, Viridiplantae, Streptophyta, Magnoliopsida, Brassicales, Brassicaceae. The record is from RefSeq and is a predicted model, not a curated record.
UCCAUCAGUCUUCUUGAUGGCAAUGAAAUGUGCUGUCUUUGUGAGUCGAUCCACUACCACCCAUAUUGCAUCCUUAUUGCCCGUGAUCCGGGGCAAUCCUGUCACGAAGUCCAUGGUGACCAUGUCCCAUUUCCACUGGGGUAGUGAAAUCGAUUUUUUUUUUUUUUUUUUAAAGAAAAACAAAUUCCGGCUCAUUAAGGAAAAUCUAACUGCCAGUACCCAUCCGGACGGAACCGGACGGGUUUUAACCUGGCUCUGAUACCAAUUGAAAGACCCGUCCCUUCCCCAACUUCUCCUGGGGUUCCCGGGACGGAGUAGGGGUACACUUGUCACAUUUCCCGACAACCCGUGUAUCCCCUACUGGUCCCCUUUUUAAUUAAAUUCACAACUUAACGAUAAAAGAAACUCCAAAUCCUUUUUAUUGCUUAGAAAUCUUAACGGAAAUCAUAAGUAACAAGUUUAAACACCGGUCUUGAAAAGCAAACGAUUUAAAAAUAAGAACAUGAAAAAUAACAACAUUCCCGGCCCAGGAACCAUCACCACUCCAACCUUACUCCUGCGUUUCCUCGUCCGUACCUGCGGAAGAGAGGGGUGAGCAUUUUGGGGAAAAUACUCAGUGAGGACGGGUUCUAGGAACCCGCUAACUCUUAUCAAAACACAUAACACAGCAAGUAUUAGAACGUAAUCUAGCAGGGCUAGCAGUUAACAAUCAAACACCCUAGACGCCUAGGACCUACACAGCUCAAGCGGACCAACCCUCCCCUUUCUUGCUGCAUCCCUAUGAAGUCGCCUGCCCUGGUACACCCGGCAUCCGGUUCCCUUGGAUGUAGUCCAUACCCCUUGCAGUGUAUUACGACCCCUUCCCGCCAAGACUCGGCGUGACUCAAUCUUACCGGCGCCUCUAUUCUUACUUGCCGUUUUUGAACGCUACGGCCGCCGCGUUUCCCAUACUCCCCACCAGUCCCUCGGUGGUUUGUAUUUCAUUCAACUUUCUUAGUUUCUCUUAGUCUUACUAGACUCUUUCUUUCUUUAGUCAUUCUAGACUCUUACUUUAUUUACUUUCUUUCCCUAGAUCCACUAGGUUCUCAAUCAUCAUCAACAUUUCAUCAAUCUCAUCAUUGAUUUCAUUCAUUCAUCAUAACAAUCAACCUAGCUCAUACUAGAUACUCCCUAAUACUAUACAGGGUUAGGGAUCUUGAGAGGAGUUCACAGACAAGUCCUCACCUUAAUUGGUUAUCGGACUGGAUCUAAGACAGCAAGGUAGCAGUUUCUGUUCCGGAUCUGGCUCUCGGAAGUCUGGAUGAGAGAAAGGGAGUUUUUGAUCUCAGAUCUACAUCACCGAAGACUAGGAAGAAUAGGGAUCUGAGGUUUUACCUUAAUGCUCUAAACGCAGGCGGUUACACUCCACAGAAUCGAGAAGCCGACGGCUUGGCACCCGCGAUCGGCGACUUGGGCUGCGCGGACGGUGGUCGACGGCGGUGCUUCCUCGGCGUGCUGGUGGCGGCGGCAGCUCUCGUGUCUCGCAGGGCUUCGCUUGGUGGGUUUGUGAUGGCUCAGCUGUAGAGAGGCACCUCCUUUUAUAGUUGUUAGGAUUAGGGUUACUUAGGGUUUCUCUCUGUUGGGCCUUUUCCACUUGGGCCUGGGCCGGGGUGUUACACGUUAGGUAAACAAAAAGAUCCUCAUCAUCAACAAUAUUUAAAGGUGUCUCACAUCCUACCACCAGUGGCAUGUAGCUCAAUUCCAAUUUUUCCUUGCUUUCAUCCAACCCAAGCUUCUUAUACAUCCUCUCUUCUAUCAUUGACAAAGUCGUAUCCUCUACUGAUGUCUUCAGAGUUAUACUAAACAUCCGGUCUUUGAAUUUAAAAUGUACGCUGACAUGAUUUCUCAUUGUAUCCUGCCAAAAAAAAAAUGAAAAAACUCAACAAAUUGAAUUUCGUAUCAAGUGCGAACCGAUCUAUGCCCCUACUGCCAAUACACUCCCAUUCAACCACAUAAAUGCAUUUUGUACCACUUUACUAUACUGAUUGACCCAGACACGAAACAAUGCCGUUGUGCAUUAUUCCUAAAUCGAAUUACAAUUCAAUUACGAUGAAAGCUCGAGGCGGAGACCACAACUUACCGGCUUCGACGGAAUGCUAGACGUCGGGAAAGGACUAGUCUAUGGCGACAGACGGCGUCGCUCCACAAUCUUUGGGAAAACGAGAACGAGCUGCGGGGAUGGAGCUGAGGACGGAUUCAGAGCUAUGGAUUUCUUGAGGAUCGAAGGGAAGAUCGAAGGGGAGAGGAAGUUUAGUUGUCUAAUUAAUUUUUUUUUUUUUUUUUUUGUUUUUUUUACAAAACCACCCAAAACCAGACCGGUUUCACAAGGAAACCUAACCACAACCAUACUUGUUCGGUUAGCAUUCUGACCGGUUUCCUUUGAAAUGCUCGAUUUUUUUAACUAAGGGCAAAUUCGUCAAUUCGCGUUCGUUUAAUGAAUCAAGAGCAUAGGAGAUUAUGCAGACCCAUAGAAGAUUUGGCCAUCACAUCACAUGGAGGGGCAGGGGAGCUAUUUCCCCUUUUUUCCCCUUUAUACAAUUCAGAAAUCUUCCAUUACUCUAUUUUCUCUAUAUUCCUCUUCAAUCAAG